GCUGCUAAUACCGCAUGAUACCUGAGGGUCAAAGGACGCAAGUCGCCUUAGGAGGAGCCUGCGUCUGAUUAGCUUGUUGUGGGGUAAAGGCCUACCAAGGCGACGAUCAGUAGCUGGUCUGAGAGGAUGAUCAGCCACAUUGGGACUGAGACACGGCCCAAACUCCUACGGGAGGCAGCAGUGGGGAAUAUUGGACAAUGGGCGAAAGCCUGAUCCAGCAAUGCCGCGUGUGUGAAGAAGGUCUUCGAUUGUAAAGCACUUUUGGCAGGGACGAUGAUGACGGUACCUGCAGAAUAAGCCCCGGCUAACUUCGUG
RNAcentral lists this ribosomal RNA (315 nucleotides) under uncultured bacterium. Its description in RNAcentral is "bacterial SSU rRNA". It matches the Rfam family "Bacterial small subunit ribosomal RNA", at positions 159 to 507 of the family's 1533-position model. The record is from RNAcentral.